RNAcentral lists this ribosomal RNA (253 nucleotides) under uncultured bacterium. Its description in RNAcentral is "partial 16S ribosomal RNA". It matches the Rfam family "Bacterial small subunit ribosomal RNA", at positions 524 to 776 of the family's 1533-position model. The record is from RNAcentral.
UACGUAGGGGGCUAGCGUUGUUCGGAAUUACUGGGCGUAAAGCGUACGCAGGCGGAUCGAUCAGUCAGGGGUGAAAUCCCAGGGCUCAACCCUGGAACUGCCUUUGAUACUGCCGAUCUGGAGUAUGGAAGAGGUGAGUGGAAUUCCGAGUGUAGAGGUGAAAUUCGUAGAUAUUCGGAGGAACACCAGUGGCGAAGGCGACUCACUGGUCCAUUACUGACGCUGAGGUGCGAAAGCGUGGGGAGCAAACAGG